RNAcentral lists this long non-coding RNA (955 nucleotides) under Triticum aestivum (bread wheat). Its description in RNAcentral is "long non-coding RNA (TAES_LNC012756)". Lineage: Eukaryota; Viridiplantae; Streptophyta; Magnoliopsida; Poales; Poaceae. The record is from RNAcentral.
AAUCUCUUCAGUUUUGAAAGAAAGGGUUAAGACUUGAAGUGUCUGUGAUUGAACUUCAUUGCAUGGUGAUGAACCUAUCCCUAGUGUAUAUUAUAGUUAUUUUUUUCUAGAAUGAUGAUACAUAUGUUGCAAGUAUAUGCAGUUUCCACUUCUGCAUUUUGUUCCUUUUGAUAAAUUUAUUUAGUGAUACAUAUGUUGCAAGUAUAUGCAGUUUCCACUUCUGCAUUUUGUUCCUUUUGAUAAAUUUAUUUAGUACACCGACAUAGGUUCUAUAAUCUGCAAUGUUCUUUAGUAAACUCAGGUUGAAAAAAAUGUAUUCCGAUUAGUAAUUAGGUCACAUCUAUAUAUAAAAUCAAAGUCUUGGUAAAUCACAUUGAUGAGAACUUAAAGUUUUUUAAAUUGUUGAAGCCUUUCGUCCACUUGAAGUUUUUGAAGAAUUGUAGAUAUUUUUUACUAAACAAAAGCAUGGGUGGCAUGUCCGCACAUGAUAUUUUUUUAGGGAGGUACCUCGCUUCUUACUCUGUAUGUUCUUUUUUAAGGUUUAUGUUAACUCAAUUGACAACAAAGACAACUAUCGGAAGUGUUAGAUGUAGGCUAAUUCUCCUUUUCUGUGUAGAGAGCUACUAAUGUCAUGUAUUUCAACCUUUGUAUGGCGCUCCUCCUUUGAAAUUUUAUGGAUAUAUUAAACUGAUUUUCUCUAAAGUUACUCAUCUCAUUUCUCUGUUCUUGCAGAUUGCUAAGAUAAAUUGAUGAUGUAUCGCUGGGGUGUUCACUGCAAGGUCAAGAAUGGGGCUACUACUAUGUAGAUGAUUAGAAUGAUAUUUUCAGGGUCAAUGUUUCAAAACAUUAUAGUUGAUUGCAAGGUUGAGAAUGGGGCUACUAAUAGAUAGUUUCACAUCUUGUAAUGUCUGGAUCAUGUUAUCUGUAAUGCAACACAACCAAUUUAAUAUAUGAG